UCCGGGCCGACGCCGAGUUCUGCCCACGGUCCGGGGUCCCUCCAAGACAGCUUGGGCAGAAGCGGGGGAACCAGGUUCCUCCGGGCGGCCCCGUCACGGCCGCCCUCGGGGUUAAGUCGCCUCCACGGAGACGACCGGGCUUCCCGGCCCGAACCCGACAGCUAACCUCGCAGGCGUACGGGAAGGAUUC
RNAcentral lists this small RNA (190 nucleotides) under Frankia alni. Its description in RNAcentral is "c-di-AMP sequence". The stretch from base 39 to 190 matches the Rfam family "c-di-AMP riboswitch aptamer (ydaO/yuaA leader)". Rfam says of the family: This family represents a conserved RNA structure found upstream of the ydaO and yuaA genes in Bacillus subtilis and related genes in other bacteria. The ydaO/yuaA element is thought to act as a genetic "off" switch for the ydaO and yuaA genes in its native state. The record is from RNAcentral. Lineage: Bacteria; Bacillati; Actinomycetota; Actinomycetes; Frankiales; Frankiaceae.